GACCAGGUAGCUCAGUUGGUAGAGCUCCUUGGUAUAUGUCAGGUGGUCCCAGGUUCAAUCCCUGGUCUGCUUA
Molecule: transfer RNA, 73 nt
Filed under: Gloeophyllum trabeum ATCC 11539
Lineage: Eukaryota; Fungi; Basidiomycota; Agaricomycetes; Gloeophyllales; Gloeophyllaceae
Description: tRNA-Und (NNN) (tRNA-Und-NNN-1-1)
Rfam family: tRNA
About the family: Transfer RNA (tRNA) molecules are approximately 80 nucleotides in length. Their secondary structure includes four short double-helical elements and three loops (D, anti-codon, and T loops).
Source: Rfam by way of RNAcentral